UUGCUGUCUGAACAAUGACAUCGAUGCCCCUUGCCACAGGAAAGAGUGAUGAUAUUUCCUAACAAACUAAUGAGUUCAGUGUUCUACAGUGUUCAGUCUGGAGCAAAGAAGUGUCUGCAGUCUUAACUCUGCCCCACAUCACUUAAGGCUGGGCUGAUGGCUCAGUGCAUAAAGCACUUGCUGCUCAAUCAUGAGGACCUGAGUUUGAACUUCAGAACCCAUAUAAAGUCAAGGAGAUUGCAUUAGCAAUUUCACUACAUCUACAGAGAGAUGGGAGGCAGAGACAAGAAAAUCCCGGGAAAGCUGGCCAGCCUGGCACACACAGAAGAACAAAAGAAACCUUCCUGUCUCAAAGAAGGUAGACAGUGAAGACGAACACCUGAGGUGGUCCUCUGUCAUACACACAUGUGACACCGUACACGUGAACCCACAUUAUCACACACCACGCAGGGACAAAAAUGUGCUUCUCUCACUCUACAAAAUGUUUACAAAAAUAUAUUCUGAAACCAAAAUCUUUAUGUAAAUAUGUACUCACAAAAAAUGGACCUCCUUAUGAUCAAAGUCGACACACUGGUGAUUCUAAGAAUUGCUGCAGUGAAAUUUUGUUGAAAGUGUUGAAGCUAUAUUACCUGAAAAGCAGAAGCUCCAGGUGCACCAGACACGAUGGCUACCUUCCUAGGUUUCAAAAAUAGUACGUUGGAAGAGGAAUGAAGCGUGAUUUCCAUGACAACUUUCAUAUGUGAGCUACAGCCUGUGAAGAGAAAAUUCUAGAGAUGUUUUUGCUCCACAUAAGAAUGACCUUUCAAAAAAAAAAAUUCUCUCCAAACUGGCAAUAUAGUCAAAUUAACACUUAGGAUGUGUUCAUCCAAAGCAUGAUGACGUCGAAAGUCAUUUUCAACUCUGAAAUGUUUAUUUAAUUCUGUGCUUAUAUUUAAUGCAGAUUAAGCAGAGAGAAAAGCCAAGUCAUCUCUCUCUCUCUCUCUCUCUCUCUCUCUCUCUCUCUUACACACACACACACACACACAGAGACAAACAGAAAAACAUACACAGAGACAGAGACAGA
Molecule: long non-coding RNA, 1063 nt
Organism: Mastomys coucha (southern multimammate mouse)
Lineage: Eukaryota; Metazoa; Chordata; Mammalia; Rodentia; Muridae
Exons: 3
Source: RefSeq, a predicted model, not a curated record